Long non-coding RNA from Carya illinoinensis, 447 nucleotides. RefSeq lists it as uncharacterized. The record is from RefSeq and is a predicted model, not a curated record. Lineage: Eukaryota; Viridiplantae; Streptophyta; Magnoliopsida; Fagales; Juglandaceae. The transcript has 2 exons.
GUUGUCUGCAAUCUUGUGACUUUUGAAGCCUUCGUGCGUUGACAAUUCCAUGUGGUGCUCAGUCAAUUGCAAUGCUGAGCGAGGAGGGUAUGUUGCAUCGAUCCCAGCCGUCCAUUUUUCGUCAACGAAGUGGCUGCCAUGAUGGAGCAGAUUUUCUAAUUCACAGUCCAAAGCUUUCUUUUUGGGUGGGUACCCAGAAGGACGUUCAAGCAAUCAAAGAAUAUCUGCCAACAUUCUUCGAAAAGUACGUUCUCCAGCCAGCAAUGGCGGAACUACAUGCAUCUAAGAAAAUAUAGAAAAUUUUAUGAAAAAUCAAUAUAUGCUUUAGUUUUUAAUCAUAAUUUUAUAAAUGUAGAAAAUGACCCUCCAAAAAACAGCCUGAGGUUUGAAUUUAUUUGUGUUACAAGCAUCGUGUGCUGAUGUUAUUAAACUCUGUCGCUUUGCUUU